RNAcentral lists this unclassified non-coding RNA (229 nucleotides) under plant metagenome. Its description in RNAcentral is "partial contains small subunit ribosomal RNA, internal transcribed spacer 1, and 5.8S ribosomal RNA". The record is from RNAcentral.
UCUCCGUAGGUGAACCUGCGGAGGGAUCAUUACAGAGUUCAUGCCCUAACGGGUAGAUCUCCCACCCUAUGUUAUCAUCACUUUGUUACUUUGGCGGGCCGUCAGGCCUCGGCUUGGCUACCGGCUCUCGCUGGUAAGCGCCCGCCAGAGAACCCCAAACCCUGAAUAUCAGUGUCGUCUGAGUACUAUAUAAUAGUUAAAACUUUCAACAACGGAUCUCUUGGUUCUG